UCCUGGGCAUCUCUCCUCCCUGUGCCAGCCACCCCUGAGCUGGCUCGGCCUAGGCUGGUUUUGUGCGAGGGCUCCCAGCCCUGGCUGCGGAGCUGCCCUGCAGAUAGGCAAACUGCAGAGCAGAUCGGGAGACUGGAUAGCUGCUGGAACAACUUCAGACCUUUUUCUCCUGUCUCACUCUACAAAGAACCAAGUGGUUCUUCGGGGUCUGCACACUCUCAGCUCCCACAGACUGCAGGCAGGGCCCUUUCCAGCCCUUCGGAUCUCACCUGGAUUAGCUGUGCUUGGAAGCUGCUCGUCUCAAGGUUGUCUGCCUUUCACUUGGUGGUAAAACAAACAGGUAACUUCAUUGUUAACCUCGGUGAAACAAACCUACUAAUUCAACACAGAGAGGGACCAGGGGUUUCAGUUACUAAGUUGCUUUCUCACCCAUGGAGAUUAAUUUCUGCCAGCCAGCAUUGCAGCAAGCAGAUAGGAAUCUGGCACUCACUUUGUCCUGCAGAUGAGUUGGGACUCAACAGUAGGCUUUCAAUCAAAGACUCACUUUGACCUUUUUCUCUUUCUUCUCCUCUGCUAAAUGAUCUUGAGAGCUCGUUUAACCAACAGCUAUAUUGGACUUUUAUGCUUUAACAUUUAAAAGUAAACCUUAAAUGUUUAGAAGGAGAAGUUUAUUUCCUAAGGUUAAACUCCUGGCAAUGUGCUUUACCUUCAUAGCUGCUGGGCUUCUUUAUGCUCGGGAUCACUCUUCAGCAAUAUGCCUGUGUCAAAAGAAGACUCAGACAUGGAAAUAUUCAUUAACAUGUUUAUUUGUUUACCUUCAAAGACAGCACAUUUUAUUUACCUGUAGGCAUACAUGUAGAAAAUACAAAGAUAUUAUAGAGAAAUGAUGUCAAACAAGACACAGUUUUAUUUUUUCUUUAAAGUCCUCAUUCUCUUCUUUGUAGUUGUUGUCUUCAGAAACAUUUCAUGAAAUCUCAAGACAAAAUCCUUGAUGUACACCAUUUCUGAAGGCUGCUGAGUUCUGACCUCAUGUAAUAGCCAAGUCUUACAUACCUACUUAUGACUUUACCCUAUUUCUUGCAUUUUUACAUGUAUAUUAUUGUUUCUUUCAGUUAGUCUACUUUUUCCUAGCAGGAAACUAAAAUGUGGCUUUAGUAAUAUCUACCAUCAAUCUUAUUUAUUCCAUCUAUUUCUAGGUAAUUAUAUAUAGUGUAUUUCUUAGUCUACAUUUGGAUGGUCUAUUUAGAGAUGAUUGGAUCCCUUCCAGAAUAGCAAUGACCUUUCUGUGACUCAAACAUUAAUUUUCCAAAUGGGUUCACAGGUAAAUGGUGAAAUACCUUAUAUAUCAUCAUAAUUAACAAGAUAUACCUUAUUAAUGAUUAGAAAACAUGCUUUUCAUAAUUAUAAACAGAAUCCUUUCUGAGGUACAAGCUUACCCUCUGCUAGGAAUUGUUAAUCAAUACCAUCAGAUAGAUCUAACAGCAAAACCUUCUAAAAUCCUAUUCCAAAAGCAGUCUUAAUUGCGAGGUCUCACAUACCACAGGCAGACGCAUUACUCAGAUUUUAAAGACAUCAAUAUUACCACUUCAGAACUAUUCAGAGUCUGAUCUGCUAUAAUGUGUUUGACAAGUCUCUGUUUUGAAACAGACAACUGGCAUUACGAUCUACAUUGAUUUACCUGCUUUCCUAACUUCAUUAAAGCCAACUAUUCCUAUAAUUUCUUAGCGCACAGAAAAGCCUGCAACUUGGUUCUACCUCUCUCAUGAGUAUUCUUUUCUGAUCAUAAUGUUUUGAAGGAAAGGGAAUUAGAGGCUUUUUAGAAAAACGUGGAGGAACAGUAGCAAUGAUAAUGAACCCGGCAGAGCAGAAAAAGAUUCUGUUCCAUAUGAGGAGCUCCUUAAAGAAAUCACAGUCUCCCUCACAUAAAGAGAGGAAGAACCAAAGUUCCCUAAUUGGAACUAAUUGGAGUUCUGAUCUCAUGAGUAUCUGAGCAGCAGGACUAUGUCUGGCAAGAGAUCACCAAAGGCAAGUGGCGUUGGAAGAGGCACUGGUAAUUCAGUCAGUGGCAAUCUUUCUGAAGUAGCGGUGAGUCACUAGCUCAGCCAAGCAGUGGUGAGAGCUGUGCUUUCAGCCGGAGCAUGUGGGAUAUUAGGAUGAGGCCUGUCCACUAGCCACAGAGCUCUGACUGUUUCUAACAGCUGAGAGGCUCAAUCCAGGAACCCAUCCAAAUUAUAAUGUAUGGAACUACUCUCUGUCUAACCACCUUGCCCCAUUGAUUGGAAGUGGAAAGCACAGCCAUUGUUUUUCCACUAAAAAAGUCCGCAAGGAGCAGAACAAUAGCUACAUGCUGCCAGCCAGACAGCUACUCGUCAGACAAAUAGUUACUGGGAUGGGAGGCAGGUACAUUUAGCUCAAUAAACAACAUUUUAUCCAGGAGCUUCCUGACUGA
Molecule: long non-coding RNA, 2449 nt
Filed under: Anas platyrhynchos platyrhynchos (common mallard)
Lineage: Eukaryota; Metazoa; Chordata; Aves; Anseriformes; Anatidae
Description: lncRNA (ENSAPLG00000024784.1)
Source: RNAcentral